AAGUGUUGCCACUGCUCGCAUUCAAAUCGCAGAGUUUAUUUAUUAAUAAAAAAGUAAGUUUUAUAAAAUAUGAAAUAAAAAUAUGUUGCCAAAUUUUAAUCGUAUUAUUAUUACAAGGUCAUAUUCGAACUUUGAAGAAAGCACGUUAUAGCAUGUGAUGUCAUUGUAUGUCGAAAAUUUUUCAUUGUCAGCAUUUUAAAUAAAUGGUUGCUAUCGGCAACGUUUUUGUUUCAGGUUAGUAUAAAGGACGUGAUAUGCUAAUGCCACGUUGAUUCUUUUAUUGUUAUUGAGUAAAUUCUGUUAUAUUACAUUAAAAUUAAAUCAUGACGUCAUACGUUUUAACCUGAGGUGUCAAAGUUUUUGUUUCUUGGGUUGGCAAUGAAAGAUUAUUUAGGACCUGGUUGUUGCUUGGAAAGAAUGAACUCAUUUCAUUCAUAUUGGAAAUGUUUUUAUAUAUUUACUUUCCAGAGCUGCAGAGAACUUUUAAAUUUUGCUUUGUCAGCAGCCCGCUAGUUCUGUCUUAAAAUUUGAUCGAUGAAUUGAGAACAUUUGGAGAUGCAAAGUUUUCAUUAUGACCUCAAGCUCAAAUAUUGCUAGUAUAAAUUCAUUUCUGUAAGAUAAUUAAAAAUACGGAAUAAUUGAUUUUAUGAAUUUUGUUGAUCUUAGUUUCAGUCAACUUGUAACAUAACUUUCCAUCUCGAAAUCUAUACCUAAUUUAUAUCUUAAUCGCAAGCAAAUAAUUAAAUGUAUUUUGGAAAAAUAACUGAGUAAAUUCGGAAUGCAUUCAUUUAACAGGGUAACUGGAUGAAUGGUACAAGUUGUGACAGCCGAGAACGAAGCAACGUGUGUUUUAGAAUAUUCGGAAGGUCCUUCGGUAUUCUUUAUUUCGGCACUUGCGUACUGGCACGUUGACUUCCAAGGGGCUUCGUAAAUUUAGGUCGUUUGAAAACUUUCUACUAUUACAUUGCUGAUUGAAGAACUUUUAUCUUUGCACGAAACACUUGAUUUCUGAAACGGUUCCACGUAACCUGUGCCGGGAAAAUGAAGCAUAAGAAUUGGAUUCAAGAUUCAUUACGAUGUAUACCUUCCCAAUGUUAGUACGUCUCUUAACCAUGUCCGACGAAACUGCUAUUUCUGGGAAUUCUAUUCGCUUUUUUCUUUUUAUUGAGAGUGUGCUUUUCUUAUGGAUUAAGUGUGCUCGAUGCAUCGUGCUGUGAUAUGAAUAGUGAAUUGUGUAGACUCUUUUAAGGAUAUUGGACUCUUCAUGUCAAGUUCUUCGGGUCAUGUGUUCUCCGGGGUAAGUGAGAUAUCUUGUUUGCAAAUAGAGUUAGUUUACCAAUUAUAAAUCCUUUUGUAAAUUAAUAAUAUAAAAAUUGAAAUUUCUGGCAUUGAUAAUGUUAAUAAUUGCGACUUUCAAAACCCAAUAAAACGGACGAGUGAAUUAACCUUACUAA
Molecule: long non-coding RNA, 1454 nt
Organism: Stegodyphus dumicola
Lineage: Eukaryota; Metazoa; Arthropoda; Arachnida; Araneae; Eresidae
Source: RefSeq, a predicted model, not a curated record